This 662-nucleotide ribosomal RNA is filed under the name Peribacillus sp. RNAcentral's name for it is "bacterial SSU rRNA". It matches the Rfam family "Bacterial small subunit ribosomal RNA", at positions 33 to 677 of the family's 1533-position model. The record is from RNAcentral. Lineage: Bacteria; Bacillati; Bacillota; Bacilli; Caryophanales; Bacillaceae.
GCGUGGGGGGCGUGCGCUAAUACAUGCAAGUCGAGCGAAUCGAUGGGAGCUUGCUCCCUGAGAUUAGCGGCGGACGGGUGAGUAACACGUGGGCAACCUGCCUAUAAGACUGGGAUAACUUCGGGAAACCGGAGCUAAUACCGGAUACGUUCUUUUCUCGCAUGAGAGAAGAUGGAAAGACGGUUUACGCUGUCACUUAUAGAUGGGCCCGCGGCGCAUUAGCUAGUUGGUGAGGUAAUGGCUCACCAAGGCGACGAUGCGUAGCCGACCUGAGAGGGUGAUCGGCCACACUGGGACUGAGACACGGCCCAGACUCCUACGGGAGGCAGCAGUAGGGAAUCUUCCGCAAUGGACGAAAGUCUGACGGAGCAACGCCGCGUGAACGAAGAAGGCCUUCGGGUCGUAAAGUUCUGUUGUUAGGGAAGAACAAGUACCAGAGUAACUGCUGGUACCUUGACGGUACCUAACCAGAAAGCCACGGCUAACUACGUGCCAGCAGCCGCGGUAAUACGUAGGUGGCAAGCGUUGUCCGGAAUUAUUGGGCGUAAAGCGCGCGCAGGUGGUUCCUUAAGUCUGAUGUGAAAGCCCACGGCUCAACCGUGGAGGGUCAUUGGAAACUGGGGAACUUGAGUGCAGAAGAGGAAAGUGGAAUUCCAAGUGUA